CCUACGGGAGGCAGCAGUGAGGAAUAUUGGUCAAUGGGCGCGAGCCUGAACCAGCCAAGUAGCGUGAAGGAUGACUGCCCUACGGAUUGUAAACCUCUUUUAUAAAGGAAUAAAGUGCGGCACGUGUGCCUUUUCGUAUGUACCCUAUGAAUAAGGAUCGGCUAACUCCGUGCCAGCAGCCGCGGUAAUACGGAGGAUCCGAGCGUUAUCCGGAUUUAUUGGGUUUAAAGGGUGCGUAGAUGGGUUGUUAAGUCAGUCGUGAAAGUUUGCGGCUCAACCGUAAGAUUGCAGUGGAUACUGGCUGCCUUGAGUGCAGUUGAGGUAGGCGGAAUUCGUGGUGUAGCGGUGAAAUGCUUAGAUAUCACGAAGAACUCCGAUUGCGAAGGCAGCCUACUGACGUGCAACUGACGUUGAUGCUCGAAAGUGUGGGUAUCGAACAGGAUUAGAUACCCGGGUAGUC
RNAcentral lists this ribosomal RNA (460 nucleotides) under uncultured bacterium. Its description in RNAcentral is "partial 16S ribosomal RNA". It matches the Rfam family "Bacterial small subunit ribosomal RNA", at positions 338 to 795 of the family's 1533-position model. The record is from RNAcentral.